RNAcentral lists this ribosomal RNA (569 nucleotides) under uncultured bacterium. Its description in RNAcentral is "partial 16S ribosomal RNA". It matches the Rfam family "Bacterial small subunit ribosomal RNA", at positions 355 to 911 of the family's 1533-position model. The record is from RNAcentral.
UGGGGAAUAUUGCACAAUGGGCGCAAGCCUGAUGCAGCCAUGCCGCGUGUGUGAAGAAGGCCUUCGGGUUGUAAAGCACUUUCAGCGAGGAGGAAGGUGGGUGAGCUUAAUACGCUCAUCAAUUGACGUUACUCGCAGAAGAAGCACCGGCUAACUCCGUGCCAGCAGCCGCGGUAAUACGGAGGGUGCAAGCGUUAAUCGGAAUUACUGGGCGUAAAGCGCACGCAGGCGGUUUGUUAAGUCAGAUGUGAAAUCCCCGGGCUCAACCUGGGAACUGCAUUUGAAACUGGCAAGCUAGAGUCUCGUAGAGGGGGGUAGAAUUCCAGGUGUAGCGGUGAAAUGCGUAGAGAUCUGGAGGAAUACCGGUGGCGAAGGCGGCCCCCUGGACGAAGACUGACGCUCAGGUGCGAAAAGCGUGGGGCAGCAAACAGGAUUAGAUACCCUGGUAGUCCACGCUGUAAACGAUGUCGAUUUUGGAGGUUGUGCCCUUGAGGCGUGGCUUCCGGAGCUAACGCGUUAAAUCGACCGCCUGGGGGAGUACGGCCGCAAGGUUAAAACUUAAAUGAAUU